GAUGAACGCUGGCGGCGUGCCUAAUACAUGCAAGUCGAGCGAACGGACGAGAAGCUUGCUUUUCUGAUGUUAGCGGCGGACGGGUGAGUAACACGUGGAUAACCUGCCUAUAAGACUGGGAUAACUUCGGGAAACCGGAGCUAAUACCGGAUAAUAUUUUGAACCGCAUGGUUCAAAAGUGAAAGACGGUCUUGCUGUCACUUAUAGAUGGAUCCGCGCUGCAUUAGCUAGUUGGUAAGGUAACGGCUUACCAAGGCAACGAUGCAUAGCCGACCUGAGAGGGUGAUCGGCCACACUGGAACUGAGACACGGUCCAGACUCCUACGGGAGGCAGCAGUAGGGAAUCUUCCGCAAUGGGCGAAAGCCUGACGGAGCAACGCCGCGUGAGUGAUGAAGGUCUUCGGAUCGUAAAACUCUGUUAUUAGGGAAGAACAUAUGUGUAAGUAACUGUGCUCAUCUUGACGGUACCUAAUCAGAAAGCCACGGCUAACUACGUG
RNAcentral lists this ribosomal RNA (497 nucleotides) under uncultured bacterium. RNAcentral describes it as "partial 16S ribosomal RNA". It matches the Rfam family "Bacterial small subunit ribosomal RNA", at positions 28 to 507 of the family's 1533-position model. The record is from RNAcentral.